This 607-nucleotide ribosomal RNA is filed under the name uncultured bacterium. RNAcentral's name for it is "bacterial SSU rRNA". It matches the Rfam family "Bacterial small subunit ribosomal RNA", at positions 195 to 813 of the family's 1533-position model. The record is from RNAcentral.
UUCGGGGGAAAGAUUUAUCGCCUUUAGAGCGGCCCGCGUCUGAUUAGCUAGUUGGUGAGGUAAAGGCUCACCAAGGCGACGAUCAGUAGCUGGUCUGAGAGGAUGAUCAGCCACACUGGGACUGAGACACGGCCCACACUCCUACGGGAGGCAGCAGUGGGGAAUCUUGCGCAAUGGGCGAAAGCCUGACGCAGCCAUGCCGCGUGAAUGAUGAAGGUCUUAGGAUUGUAAAAUUCUUUCACCGGGGACGAUAAUGACGGUACCCGGAGAACCAGCCCCGGUUAACUUCGUGCCAGCAGCCGCGGCAAUACGAAGGGGGCUAGCGUUGCUCGGAAUUACUGGGCGUAAAGGGCGCGUAUGCGGAUCGUUUAGUCAGAGGUGAAAUCCCAGGGCUCAACCCUGGAAUUGCCUUUUGAUACUGGCGAUCUUGAGUGUGAGAGAGGUAUGUGGAACUCCGAGUGUAGAGUUUGAAAAUUCGUAGAUAUUCGCGAAGAACACCAGUGGCGAAGGCGACAUACUGAGCUCAUUACUGACGCUGAGGCGCCGAAAGCGUGGGCGAGCAAACAGGAUCAGAUACCUCUGGUAGUCCACGCCGCAAAACGAUGAA